GGCGAGUCUGACGGAGCACGCCGCGUGAGUGAUGAAGGUUUUCGGAUCGUAAAGCUCUGUUGUUAGGGAAGAACAAGUGCGAGAGUAACUGCUCGCACCUUGACGGUACCUAACCAGAAAGCCACGGCUAACUACGUGCCAGCAGCCGCGGUAAUACGUAGGUGGCAAGCGUUGUCCGGAAUUAUUGGGCGUAAAGGGCUCGCAGGCGGUUUCUUAAGUCUGAUGUGAAAGCCCCCGGCUCAACCGGGGAGGGUCAUUGGAAACUGGGAAACUUGAGUGCAGAAGAGGAGAGUGGAAUUCCACGUGUAGCGGUGAAAUGCGUAGAGAUGUGGAGGAACACCAGUGGCGAAGGCGACUCUCUGGUCUGUAACUGACGCUGAUGAGCGAAAGCGUGGGGAGCGAACAGGAUUAGAUACCCUGGUAGUCCACGCCGUAAACGAUGAGUGCUAAGUGUUAGGGGGUUUCCGCCCCUUAGUGCUGCAGCUAACGCAUUAAGCACUCCGCCUGGGGAGUACGGUCGCAAGACUGAAACUCAAAGGAAUUGACGGCGGGCGGGGGCGGCGGGACGGGCGCGGGGCGGGGGCGGGGCAAA
This 592-nucleotide ribosomal RNA is filed under the name Bacillus pumilus. Its description in RNAcentral is "bacterial SSU rRNA". It matches the Rfam family "Bacterial small subunit ribosomal RNA", at positions 374 to 960 of the family's 1533-position model. The record is from RNAcentral. Lineage: Bacteria; Bacillati; Bacillota; Bacilli; Caryophanales; Bacillaceae.